Long non-coding RNA from Panicum virgatum (switchgrass), 544 nucleotides. RefSeq lists it as uncharacterized. The record is from RefSeq and is a predicted model, not a curated record. Lineage: Eukaryota; Viridiplantae; Streptophyta; Magnoliopsida; Poales; Poaceae. The transcript has 2 exons.
AACUGUGGCUCUUUUCUCUUUUUACCCCAUGCAAGACAUAGUAAUUUAAUAACACCAUUUUGGUUACUGGAUUUGUAGUAAAUUAGUGACCCAAAUCUGGUAGUUUGAUGAUGCCAUCGUGGGUAGCAUCAUGUAUGUUCUAGUACAAUACUAAAGGUAUUUUCGUAUUUCGGAUUGUAGUAAAGUGGGCAUCAUUUGAUAGUAACAAGAUAUCGCCAUAUUGAUAAAUGCCUUUGUGGUAAAUUGAUGACACCAUUCUGGUGAUGAGGCCUUUCUAUCAAGUUUUGUGCAAGCCAGCGUGUACUGUGGAUUGAUCUGAGUUCAUUGUCUGGUCAACUUGCUGCUGCUGAAUGAGAAAAGCUCUAAACGAUUCCCUCAAAUUCUGGAUGUAAACGUAUAUAGCUAAUGUUUGUACUAGUGUGGGAUGUGUUUCUAUAGUACUUGUAUAAUACUUGUUCAUAUGUGCCCUGCCAAAAUAGCUUGUAUGUAAGAGUAAUCAAUCCUUCUCGAUUAAUAUAUUAUGGUAAUCCUACAUAUGUAUUUA